This 71-nucleotide transfer RNA is filed under the name Cobitis choii (Choi's spiny loach). RNAcentral describes it as "tRNA-Ser". It matches the Rfam family "tRNA". From Rfam's summary of the family: Transfer RNA (tRNA) molecules are approximately 80 nucleotides in length. Their secondary structure includes four short double-helical elements and three loops (D, anti-codon, and T loops). Lineage: Eukaryota; Metazoa; Chordata; Actinopteri; Cypriniformes; Cobitidae. The record is from RNAcentral.
AAGGAAGUGGCAGAGUGGUUACGCGGCUGGCUUGAAACCAGCAUAUGGGGGUUCAAUUCCUCCCUUCCUCG